UACGUAGGGUGCAAGCGUUAAUCGGAAUUACUGGGCGUAAAGCGUACGCAGGCGGCUAUGUAAGACAGGUGUGAAAUCCCCGGGCUCAACCCGGGAACUGCACUUGAAACUGCGCGUCUUGAGUACUGGAGAGGGUAGUGGAAUUCCUGGUGUAGAGGUGAAAUUCGUAGAUAUCAGGAGGAACACCGGUGGCGAAGGCGGCUACCUGGACAGUCACUGACGCUGAGACGCGAAAGCGUGGGGAGCAAACAGG
Molecule: ribosomal RNA, 253 nt
Filed under: uncultured bacterium
Lineage: Bacteria
Description: partial 16S ribosomal RNA
Rfam family: Bacterial small subunit ribosomal RNA
Source: RNAcentral